CUUCUCGUAGCUCAAUGGAUAGAGCGCAGGCCUCCGGAGCCUGAAAUAUAGGUUCGAUUCCUAUCGAGAAGACCA
RNAcentral lists this transfer RNA (75 nucleotides) under bacterium. Its description in RNAcentral is "tRNA-Arg". It matches the Rfam family "tRNA". Rfam says of the family: Transfer RNA (tRNA) molecules are approximately 80 nucleotides in length. Their secondary structure includes four short double-helical elements and three loops (D, anti-codon, and T loops). The record is from RNAcentral.